GCUCUCUCCGAAAGGGGGAGGGUUUGAACCGACGAGAUAAUAGAUCGGUUCAACAAAAUCGCCUGGAGCGAUUUUGAACAGCGCGGCAGCGCUGGCCCGAAGGGCGGAGGGCAGGAAGUCCGGAGUAAUCCUCCCCCUCCACCA
RNAcentral lists this small RNA (144 nucleotides) under Gammaproteobacteria bacterium. RNAcentral's name for it is "RtT sRNA". It matches the Rfam family "RtT RNA". Rfam says of the family: This family represents a bacterial cis-regulatory element known as RtT RNA. Lineage: Bacteria; Pseudomonadati; Pseudomonadota; Gammaproteobacteria. The record is from RNAcentral.